GACGAACGCUGGCGGCGUGCUUAACACAUGCAAGUCGAGCGACGCUCUUCCUUCGGGGAGAUGACGGAGCGGCGAACGGGUGAGUAACACGUGGGCAACCUGCCCCUAGCUCUGGGACAACACCGGGAAACCGGUGCUAAUACCGGAUACGACAUCGAGCGGCAUCUCUCGGUGUGGAAAGUUUUUUCGGCUAGGGAUGGGCCCGCGGCCUAUCAGCUUGUUGGUGGGGUAAUGGCCCACCAAGGCGACGACGGGUAGCCGGCCUGGGAGGGCGACCGGCCAGACUGGGACUGAGACACGGCACAGACUCCUACGGGAGGCAGCAGUGGGGAAUAUUGCGCAAUGGGCGAAAGCCUGACGCAGCGACGCCGCGUGAGGGAGGACGGCCUUCGGGUUGUAAACCUCUUUCAGCAGGGACGAAUUCAGACGGUACCUGCAGAAGAAGCACCGGCCAACUACGUG
This 462-nucleotide ribosomal RNA is filed under the name uncultured bacterium. RNAcentral's name for it is "partial 16S ribosomal RNA". It matches the Rfam family "Bacterial small subunit ribosomal RNA", at positions 28 to 507 of the family's 1533-position model. The record is from RNAcentral.